CAACACCUACUGAGGAGGUCUACCCGUUUAUCUGUCUGAACCUGCACACAUGAAAUGCAGCGACCCCGGCAAAAGGGACGUUAGUAUGAAAUAAUGUACCGAGUAUGUAAGGCAAUAGAAUAACUGAAAGCUGAAAAUUAACUGAUAAUAUAAUAACUGAAAGUAACUGGGAGUCAAAGAUAAUAUGAAGAUAUGCUUACCUGCUGAUACUGAUUCAACUCUCUCAAUAUAGUAAGUAAAAUAGUUGUCCAGCCCUAUAAGGCUCGGUAUAUAUAUAACUGCUCUGCCGUAGUAGGCUCUCUCAUAGGCGCUCGGCCAUACUAGGCUCUGUAUCUUGGCCAACUGGGCUCGCUCAUAGGUGCUUGACCACAGCAGGCUCGGUAUAUAACUUACCAUCUGAUCAAAGGUUGUCCAAUAGGGGCCUGCCUAUCGAUUAUAGCUCGAUGGUAGUGAAAAUACUAUAAUACUGUAUAUAUAGACUCUCUGCUCUCUUGACUAGAAGAAGACAAUACUCAAUUGAAUAUGAAGUCCCGAUAAGGGAGAAUACUGUAACUUAGGAGACUAGGAUAAUGUAUAUAAAUUCUGGAGUAUGAACUUCUCUUUAUGCCUCGUUAUCAAACAUAUGUAAUUAUGAGAUCAUGCAAAAAUGAAGGAAAGGUUUAGCCUUAACAUACCUGCGUCGAUUAUCUUGACAAUCCCUAUAACACACGUCAAUUGCGACAAAUCACGUAACGACGGAUCGAAGUAGGAGAUAUUCAUAUAAUAUUCUUGAGAAAGAUUGUACUGUAUUCUCUUAGAAUUGCAUCUUAUGCUGCUAUUACAUAAUAUCGUAUGAAUUUGCUGAAAUAGAUCCGUUAUUAUUGUUGAAGAUCUCAUCAUUUACCCAUUUUUGAAGCCUUUCUCCAUUUGAAACUUAAGGAAAUUUUCAUGUAAAAAUCAAACUAAUGUUCAAAGAAAUUUAUGUUUGCCAUGGCAGAUCCAUAUGAUCUCUUUCCUCAAAUGAAUGAAGGAAUUUGAAAGGUUCCUUAUUAUAGUGGUGUGGGCCCCACUUGAUAAGGGUUACUUGGCCAAAGACUUUUCCAAAUAUUGACACCUUUUAUGUGAACUUAAUAUUCACCAUUUCCCUAAGACAAGGCUGCCACGUUAAAGUGUCCUUAAUCUUUAUCCCAAGGACUUUAAUUUCUUAGCUAAUCUUCCCACCAAAAUCAUUAAGUAAUCCAAUUAUCCACAUAAUUAAGAAUUAUCUUAAGUAACUUAAAAUACUACUCAAUUUUAGCAUACCUUAUACACCUCACUAUCAUGGUCAUGUGGUACCUUGUAUGGUACUAAUCCAUAAAUAACGAGCAUUAUAUCUUGGACCGUAUUUAUCAAAAAAUGUCAAACUUCGACGAAACUCACUUCCUUCGAUUCGCUUACCCUCUUACCUUCAUGAAUUUACUUAUCACUUGUUUGAAGUAGCGUACUACUUAUGAUCCCAAAAUAAUCUCAUUCCCGAACUUACGUCGAUUAACUUACGAUGAAACUUUAUGGUACGAAAAUGCGGGACGUAACAGGUAUUAUGGCAGUAAUAGAUAUGGGCAUUGUGAAUUAUCAAGUGUUUUGAUCUAUGUCUUUGUUCUAAGUGGGGGAGUCUGCUAUCGGCUAUUUGAUUGCGUGGUUAUGUGUUGUAUUGGUUUCGGUCUGAAGCAUACUUAUGGAUCGGUUAUGAGGAUUUGUAUAUGGCUAGAAUCUGAGAUUUACAUUGGAUGGUAUCGAGACUCGCGGUAUUUCUAUAUCAUUAUGGAUUCUACAUUUCAGUAUCAGGAAGGUGAAGGAAAUGACUUUAGAUUCACGAAAGGUCUCUUUAGAGUGGGACUCUCUGUUGUGGUACUUUUGGGGUGCAAAAGAGGGAAUACAAUGGCUUAUGGGCUUUACGGCGAUGUGGUUUUAUGCUAGGAUCUCUUGUGGUGAGCUUUGGGUAAGGAUUGUAGUGUUAUGAAAAGGAGAAGUGUCAACUUGAGGGUAAUUCGAAAGGAACUCAGAGAAAAUAGGACAACUUGGUAGGAUGUGGUGAGUCUCUAGACGUGUUUUGUUAUAAUACUCUUGGGUUUGGCGACCUGCGUGGCUUGGUUGAGUUAGAGAGAUUUAGUUCUGAUGGCUUGGUUAUGUGCAAAUGAGUUUUGAAGAGUUCUCUAUGGUUUCUACCACGGUUUGAGAUGGAUAUUUCCUACCGACGUGAUGAGCAUGUUGCGUAUUGUGAUUUUCUCCUGGAUGGGAUCAAGUGGAAAGUUUCUGACUGAUCUGGUAUGUAUAAUGCUGGUUACUCAGAGUUGAUUAUGAGAUUCAUAUGCUUUUCAUAUGAUGUCAUUGAUCUGAUGAGUGGUUAUGAGUUUCUGCAUGUUUCUUUCAUCAUCGGUAGUGUACAAAGGUUUUGAACUAGGUUUUAUUUGAUAUGAGUUUUACUACCAGUAUCGGGUUUUUUUGAGCAGUUACUGUGAUCGGGAAUUAUUGAUACGAGUAUGCGAGUUGUGUUGUAUAUCAUGUGAUUACAUCUUGUAUUAUGGUUAUGGCUUGUUACAGCCUUUUCGGACUCAUACAAUGUGUAGAUGCAAGAUUCGGGUCUUGUAAAGAAUUUCGGAUGUUAGAAAUUGGGUUCUAAGGCUUACAAACUAAAGUUAAAGUAAUGAUCUUCAGUUAUGAUGUGUUGUCAGGAUUACAUGGAUUGGGGUAACGUGGGAUCACCCUGAGGUAUGUGCAUGGUAAGGCUACACGACGAUUUGAUGGCUUUGGAAUGACCCUUGGCACGUUCGAAGACGGACAUAUGUUUAAGUGGGGGAGAAUGUAAUGACCCGCCUGGUCAUUUUGAGCAUUUGGAUUCCGUUCAACUAUUUGAAGUCUAGUAGCAUCCUAUGAUGUAUUAUGACUUGUGUGAAUCGUCGGUUUUGAUUUUCAGAUUAUUCGGAAUUGAUUUGGAAGAAUGAAAAUCAUGGUUGAAGCUUUAAAGUUGGAAGAGUUGACCGAGCUUGACUUUUGUAUAUUUGACCCCAGAUCAGAGUUUUGAUGGUUUCGUUAGGUCCAGAUGGUGAUUUUGGACUCAGGCGUAUGCCCGAAUUUGCAUUUGGAUAUUUUUAGAAGGUUUCGACACUAAUUGGCGAAAGUUGGAAGUUUGAAGGUUUGGAAUGUACAUAAAUUUGACCGAGAGUUGACUUUGAGGAUAUCAAAUUCGUAUUGUGGUUCCGGGAAUUGGAAUAGCUUCGUUAUGUUACUUGUGACUUGUAUGCAAUAUUUGAGUUUAUUCCGAGUUGAUUCGAUAAGGUUCGGCACGAGGUUUAGAAGUUGAAAGUUCAAAAGUUUAUUAAGUUUGAUUUGAGGUGCGAUUCAUCAUUUUGAUGUUGUUAUGCAUUCUUGGGGGCCUGGAAUAGGUCCGUGUUAGGCUAUGAGACUUGUUGGUAUGUUCGGACGGGGGCCAGAGGGGCUCGGGCGUGUUCCGGAUUGAUUUCAGACCAUUUUUCUUCAUGUUUACAUUGCUGGUUGCUGCUGGUUUUCUGGUGCCUCGAUUGUCUGUUGUGAUUGCGAAGAUGGGCAUGCGAUCACAUAGAGGAAAUCUGGAGCUGGGGCUUUUUCUUCAUCGAGGCCGUGAUUGGAUGGCUGCGUUCGCGUAAGGCUGUGUGGGUUACUAUUCAUGUUCGCAUAAUGGGCACCGCAAUCGCGUAAAGCAGAGAUGAGAAACUGGGAGCUGGAAUUUCUUCUACGCGUUCGCAUAAGAUGGGACGCAUUCCCGAAGCUUGGCGGCCUGAGUGCUUCGUGUUCGCAUGGGUAUUCUAGCGAUCGCGUAGCGUAUUGUUGGAGGCAGUGUUGUUUGUUCUUUGCGAUAGCGAAGGUUGUUCCGCGAUCGCAUAGGGUUGUUCUGGGCAGUGCAUUUUUCUUCUUCACGAUCGUGAUGGUAUGUCCAUGAUCGCGAUUUAUUGAUUCGUCCAGUGAUUAUAAAGUACUAUAUUUUGGAGGUGUCAGCCAUUUUUGCAUAUUUGGAGCUAUGGAGCUCGGAUUAAGACGAUCUUUGAAGCGGUUUUCACCAUAUGGAUUAGGGUAAGUGUUCUCUACUCAGUUUUGAUUAUAUUUCAUGAAUCUAUCCUCGUUUUUGGCAUUUGGUUGAUGAUUGCAAAAGCAAAAUUGGAGGUUUUUGUCUAAAAUUUCAUAAAGUGAAUUUUUGAGUUUUGAACAUCGAUUCGGAGUUGGAUUUUAGUGAAACUAGUAUGGUUGGACUCGUAGUUAAAUGGGUUGUCAGAUUUUGUGAGUUUUUUGGGUUCCGAGGUGCGGGCCCGUGUUUGACUUUUUGGUUGACUUUGAGCUUUUGAUUAAAGAUUCGACCUUUAUCAUUUGGAAUUAUUUUUAGGCAUUAGUUGAUGUUCUUGAGUUGCGUUUGGCUAUUAUUGAGCCGUUCGGAGGUUGAUGCGUGCGGGAUGGCAUUUCUAGAGUAUUGUGUGGCUUGCUCGGUGUCUGAUUUGGCUUGUUCGAGUUAAGUAAAACUUCUAAUCUUGGUGCUGAGGGUAUUAACCCCGAAUAUACGUGUUAUAUGUUUGGUGUUGAGGUGACGCACAUGCUAGGUGACGGGCAUGUGGGCGUGCAUCAUGUGAAUUAUGGCUCGGUUAUUUCUGUGGUACUGUGUAGUAUCCUAAUCUUGUGUUUAUCCAUGAGAUUUCUACGUGCUAGUGUAAUACAAUUGUGAUCCAUGUUAGAAACCAUGUUAAGGCUAUAUGCUUAUCCUGUUGGGACCCACUGAGGUCAUUUCUGCUGUUGAGUUAUUUGCUUAAAUUGCAAUUACAUACUCAAUCAUACUUAUUCAUUGCAUGUCAUAUAUCAGUCUCUGUUAUCAUUUGUCUUACAUCAUAUUAUCAUUGUUUGCGCCGAUUGGCAUGAGAUUUGUGAGACCGAAAGACUGGAGAUAUUGAUGACUAAGUGAGGCCGAGGGCAUGGUUGUGAGGAUGUUUAUGGAAUCGGGCUGCAUGCCGCAAUAGGAUUUAUUAAUUUAUGCCAUGAUUGGAUUAUAUUAGAGCUUGGGUAGGAUCUGCCCCUCCGGAGUCUGCACACCCACAGUGAGCGCAGGUACCUACUGAGUGCGAGUGCCGAGAGCGAGUGCCAAGUGAUAUGGAGGACUGAGUGACUGUGAGGACUGAGUGAUUGUGAGGACUGGGUGAUUGGGAGGAUUUAGUGACGAGGAGGACUGAGUGAAUUGAUACUCUGAGAGUAUGCAUAUGGUUUUAUCACUGUGUUGCAUUGCAUUCGACAUGUACACUUGACAUACAUGCAUAGAGAUGCAUUUUCCUCAUGCUGUACGGUAUUGCAUCACUCAUGACUUCACAUACACAUUGACAUGUAGGCAUAGAGAUGUAAUUUCCUCAUUCCAUUUGAUAAUGAAACAUCUUACAUGUUGAAUGUUUUUGGAAAAAAUUACAAUUUUUAAGAUUUACUCACAUUUUGGUGAUUUGAGUAAAAGAUUUAAGUUUUCACUAUUAUACUUGAAAAGCAUGCCUAUUUCUAGAACCGUGAACGAGUUGAGUAUUUUAUCUCUGAGUUAUUUCUUGUACCACUUUUAUUAUAUUGUUAUGAGCUGUUGUUGGCUAUUGGUGUUGGACUCUGACCUUUGUCCCAGCUCAUCACUGUCACGCCCCGAAUCUGGGGGGUGAGACCGGCACCAGGUGCCUCACCUAUCCUUGCGUACCAACUUGCGACUAAGGGACUCUAAACAUAUAAUGUCAUACUUUGGCCAUGUUCCACAUUGCAAGACAAUUGUGAAUGCUGACUAAACAACAGUAUCAUACUGGGCCAACAAGGCCGUCAUAAGUACUAUAGCUGGUAAACCAACACAAUAUACAUAAACAGCCUACAAGUCCAAAAUACUACACUAACUGACAGGAUAUGUCUACAAGCCUCUAUUGAUGGAUAUACUGUGAUCGGAACAGGACCCCGACCUACUCAUAUCAUAUAUAUAUAUAUAUAUAUAUAUACACAAGAUGGACAUAAAGAUUUAGACCCGGCAACACCGAAGGGCAUGGAGCUUACCGAUCAAGCUGAACUCAGGCAAUACCUAAUGAGGAGGUCUACCCAUCUGCCUGUCUGAACCUGCACGCAUGAAAUGCAGCGCCCCCAGAAAAGGGAUGUCAGUAAAAAAUAAUGUACCGAGUAUGUAAGGCAAUAUACUAAAAGCUGAAACUGAACUGAUAAUAUAAUAACUGAAAGUAACUGGGAGUCAAAGAUAAUCUGAAGUUAUGCUCACCUAUUGAUACUGACUCAACUCUCUCAAUAUAGUAAGUAAAAUAGUUGUCCGACCUUAUAAAGCUCGGUAUAUAUAACUCCUCUGCCAUAGUAGGCUCGCUCAUAGGCACUCGACCAUACUAGGCUCUAUAUCUCGGCUAUGCUGGGCUCGCUCAUAGGCGCUCGGCCACAGUACGCUCGGUAUAUAGCUUACCAUCUGAUCAGAGGUUACCCAAUAGGGUCCUGCCCAUCGAUUAUAGCUCGAUGUUAAUGAAAAUACUGUAAUACUAUAUAUAUAUAUGCUCUCUGCUCUCUUGACUGGAAGAAGACAAUACUCAAUUGAAUAUUAAGUCAUGAUAAGGAGAAUACUGUAGUUUAUGAGACUAGGAUAAUGUAUAUAAAUUCGGGAGUAUGAACUUCUCUUUAUGCCUCGUUAUCAAACACGUGUAAUUAUGAGAUCUUGCCAAAAUGAAGGAAGGGCUUAGCCUUAACAUACCUGAGCCGGUUCUCUUGACAAUUCCUCUAAUACAUGUCAAUUGCAACAAUAUGUAAUCGGCAAGAUCAGAGUAGGGAAGAAUCCGUAUGAUAUUCUUGAGAAGGAUUGCACCAUACUCCCUUAAAAUUUCAACACCUCACGUUGCUAAGAUGCUAAGAGAUGUUGUUUUGAAUUUUGUUUCAAGAACAUUACGUUAUUAAGAUGCAAACUUUUUAUUUUAAUUUGCUGAAUCCUUCAUCUCUCACGUUAUAGAGACAUCAACAUCUCACUUACUAACUUAGGAAGAUCAGUCAUGGAGCUCCCCCUCCUUCGACAAGAACUAUAGCCAAUUUCUAAGUCGAUCAGUGACACUAUCCUUCCAAAUGUACCGCAACCAAAUCUGAUAGCACCUAUUCUAGGUCCAACAACCUCAUCUCAUAAAAUACAGCCACUCCACUGACAUGCCACACCGAUACAACCUCAAGCCAAAAGCCGUGCAAUCCGUGCACCAUUACGCAACAAUUCAAAUGCACCUAAAAAUGGAAAAUGACUCAAAUGAGAGAAACAUUCCGCAGGCUCAGUAAGUACCACCAUAACGCAAUGCUAAAACCCCAUCACACAUGGUAGAACCAAAACACAUGAAUCUAUCACAAAGGAUCAUAUCCCACCAUAACCCAGCUGCAAUACGUGACCCAUCCAAACACCGAUCCGAAUGACAUACCUCGAGCCCCAAUGCUCAAAUUCAACAACCAUAAGUAAUUCGACACCAAGUACAUAAGUGCAUGACCAAUACCAUGGAGAAGAAAAUAAAAAAAUACAUCACAAUUCGGAAAAGACUAUAACCAAGGCGCAAUCAACCAUUCCACACCCCAAUCAACAUCUCGCUCGAAUUUUGCUAUAAGGCCAAAACAGAACCGCACCAUGUGUGCAUAUAACCAACGAAUCACAACCCCUCGUAGCAUGGAAGAGUAACACAUAGAACAUAUCAGGUAAGAAUAAAAUCAAUUCUAACUGAAUGGCACAUCCCUCAAUAAUAGCAGUACGGAGUAAACAAAUCUGACCCGGUGUAGAAUACACAUCCUCCUUGGGCCUACCAAUGGGCCCCCAAACCAACUCCGAUCAUACCCAAAUAGAUAAAUAGCCCUCCAAAAGUCCACAAUGAUCUAAUGAUAACAUGUACCACCAUCUAGCUAACUUUUCCCACAUCUUCACAAUUCGCAACCACGAAAUAAUCCGCUUCUGGGAACUCCCAAUCUCUUAUAAUUUUGUGGGUUGUGGGCCCCACUUAUGCAUGACUUGUCCACCAAUAAUUCCUCCAAUUUUGCCACCUUUCAAUCUGACUUAAGAGUCACUUAAAUGAUCAUAUGUUGCUGCCACGUUGGGGCUUCUUAAGCUUAUCCACUCAUUUUCUUAAUUAACUAGUUAAUUCUCCACUAAUCCAAUAAUUACCAUAUUAUUCACAUAAUUAAGAAUUAUCUCAAAUUACUUUAACAUACUACUCACUUUUAACACAAUUUGUAUACCUUACUAUUAUGGUCAUGUGGUACCUUGUAUGGUACUAGUCCAUAAAUGCCGGGUGUUAUAGCUCGGACCGUAUUUUAUCCCAAAUUGUCAAAUUUCAAUGAAAAUUAUUUUUUUCGAUUUGCUUACCCUCUCACCUUCACGAAUUUACUUAUCCCUUGUUUGAAAUAACAUAAUACUUAUAAUCCCAAAAUAAUCUCAUUCCCGAGCUUACGUCGAUUAACUUACGAUGAAGCUUUAACGUACAAACAAAUACGGGAUGUAUCAUCUCAUUUUGGAGCUUUCAUCAAUAUAUUUAUGGCGUACUUUCAAGUACAAAAAAUAUGGGGUGUAACAUUAUUCCCCCCUUUGGAACAUUCGUCCUCGAAUGUUGACUGAUGUACUUAUCAUUCUCAUAACCCAUAGCUCUUGCGAAUACUUUAAUAUUCUCCUUGCCAUUUAGGCAAUUGUUCUUUGAAUAAAUCCAAAGGCCAAGGCAUUCCCUCCUUUAGUCCUCUUUGUCAUACCACGACUUUCCUACAGCUCUUAGCCAAUCUCUAGGCCUCACUUUGUGAACAUAUACAAAAUUAUGUCAAGCUGUCCCUUUGGGCGUCAUUAGCUUUACUACAUCUAAAUAGGCCAUACUAUACCAUAACUCUUACUUUGAUUUAUUGUUACUGAGGUCUACGACCAAACUCCAGGUUACUCUCAUUGCUUAUCCUAUAUGCAUAAAGCUAAGUCCUUUAUUGCUUCCUUAUUACUGUUCAUCUUAAGAAUGAUGACCUAAUCUCAGCUCAUACUUUGUGACUUUUGUCCAUCCAUUAUGAUUCGCCUCAAUAUUGAUCUACAAUAUACCACUGAUAACUUGAAACUUCUUACGUAAUACAUUGCCACUAGGGCUUAUAUUGCAUCGAGGAAUAUUUGAAGUGAUUUUCCUGAUCCACUUAGGGGCGAUACUAUACUUCAAUAAUCGUAUUUUAUAGCAUCUCAAUAUGAUUCACCUUACGUGGGUAUUUUAAUUCCGUACAAUCCAUGAAAUCCUCUUCAAAUCAUUACUCAAUCGAAGGCUCAACCGUCAUCCUUUAUCUAUCAUAAUUACACAUUUAUUCUACUAUCAGGGCAUCAUUCCAUCUCUUCCAAAUGCUACUAGUCUUAGAUUCCUUUGAGUUCAUUCAAGCUAUACCGAGCUUUCUAUAACUUAGAGAAGCCAUCAACUAUCUUGUUUUCAUGGGCUUAAUCCCGAGGACUCAUCCGUUUCUCGUUACCUUCUCACUCACCCUUUUUUGUCCUUACUCUUGUCUUCCUAAAACCUCGUCGCUCUAUCAUACUUUAGCUUGCGACCCAUACAUAUCCAUUUAUACUACUCGCAGCCUUCCUUCAACUUUCUUGCACCAUAGAUUUCCUUGUGUUAUUCUGGAACAUCAAGCGUGACAUCGUAACAUCUCCAACUCCUUUUUACUCUCUUGAAUAGAUUUCUCGGUGCCUAGAAACCAUAGGCUGGAAGAUAUGCCACUAAUGACACAGCUAUCAUUUCGGGAUACCGAAUCCCAACGCUUCUAGACCUCUAUCUGAAGUAUGGAUUAUUCACAACCUUCUGCACCUGAGUAUCUCGUACGUUGUUCCUCUAUACCUUGCUUACCUUAAAAUCUCCCAUCGUAUCUUCUAUCUCUUUCAUAACCCCACUUCCACAUAGGUAUGAUUUACAUCCACAACUUGAAACUCUAUUAUAAUACUUGCACCUCUGGUGCAUACGCAAUCCAGUAGGAGCUUCAUACUGACUUCUUAUGAGGUUGGUACUUUUCUAAUUGGCUUUAUCGUAGGGCCGUUAUAGAAUAUGGUUAUUGUGCUAUCUCUCUUGCACCUCUAAUAUUAAGAUUGAUUCCUCUAUGUUCUCAAUCAUGAUUUUUAUAAUUCUCUGGGUCCAAUAAUCAGACUCCUGAUUUACUUAGUUGAUUAAACUCUUUAGUUUCCUCUUCCUUCUGAUCAACCUUCAUGUAGGCUUAAGCUAUCUUACGAUCUACGGCUCAUGGUAUUAGUUAUUACUUUAUCCUUUCAUGGGCGCUAUGGAAUAUCCAUGAUACAAUCUUCUAACAAUUCAAUCCUUUGUCUAUGCCCUAGGCUCAAUUCGUUCUUUUAACUUAUACCGGAGUCUUCUACGACUGUAUGAAUGUCAACAUAUAUGCUGCAUGGAUAAUACUCCAAACUCUUAAGUGUGUUCAUAACGUAACUAACUCUGGAUCAUUAAUCGAAUAAUUCUUUUCGUUCCUUCUCAACUUUCUUUAAAUGCAAGCAAUUGCUUUUCCUAGUUGUUCUGCCACUUGUUGCAUGCAUACUUAACUUAUCUUAGUGCCUAUACAUAUUUGAAUUCCAUACAACUCAUAUAAUAUUGAAUAUCACUUCUAAUUUUUACUUCCCGUCCAUUAGCCGCGGUAGGUGCCACUUUCUUAUGGAGUGCAUACAACGUUGUUGUGAGACUGUUGUUAUAAGAUCACUUCCUCUCGUCUCUUCCUUCACCUGACUAUGGACCUUGUAAUACCGUCAUCAUUUUGAUCUACCGUUGUCAUCCAUGUAUCACAUCUUACUCAUAAUGCUUCUUUAUCUCUCUUAUCAUUUCCCUGCUAAUAUUUUUGCCUAUCCCUUUCUUGUAAAAACUUCAACAAGACAUUCUUUUGCUUUUAGCUCCCCUUGCUUCAUUCAUCGGCUCUUCGGUUUGCUCAACGUUCUCGCUCUACUUGGGACGGGAGCCACACCAAGGNNNNNNNNNNNNNNNUCUAUAAUGGGGUAUUAAUAAGAUGGUCCAUGGGUAUGAAGGUUGUUCAUCUUGCAUGCAUGUGAUAAAGAGUGUGAGGAAGAUAAAAAGUGAACUAGAACUAUGAACGUUUUCCUAAUUUUGGGUUCAAGUUGUAUAUUGCUAAAAUAGAUUAAGGUUGCUAAGGGUUCCGGAUAAUUGUAGAGUGUAAAGAAUCGCAAUUGAGGUAUGUAUGUCUAACUCUUUUCUUCUUAGAAUCGAACUCCUGGUGUCCGAAUAAUUGGUGUAAGUUCCAACUUGAUCAUACUAGAAUUGUUUGCCUUAUUGUGUUGGAUUGAAAGAUUCAUGUUCUCUAAUCAUUUUAGAUGGUUACCAUGUCAUCAUUCUAUUUGAGAACGUAAUUAUGAUUUUCCAAGCUCUUUCCCUUAUGUGUGAAAUGCUUUAUGUGAUGGUACUUAUUGAAAUGAAUGAUGAUGUUAUUUGAACAAAUAAAAAUGGAAAGACUUGAAUUGUAAAAUGUUCCCAAGUGCCAAGAACUACUUAAUAAAUGAGGCUGUUUGUGCCAUGUAAUGAAGAUNNNNNNNNNNNNNNNNNNNNNNNNNNNNNNNNNNNNNNNNNNNNNNNNNNNNNNNNNNNNNNNNNNNNNNNNNNNNNNNNNNNNNNNNNNNNNNNNNNNNNNNNNNNNNNNNNNNNNNNNNNNNNNNNNNNNNNNNNNNNNNNNNNNNNNNNNNNNNNNNNNNNNNNNNNNNNNNNNNNNNNNNNNNNNNNNNNNNNNNNNNNNNNNNNNNNNNNNNNNNNNNNNNNNNNNNNNNNNNNNNNNNNNNNNNNNNNNNNNNNNNNNNNNNNNNNNNNNNNNNNNNNNNNNNNNNNNNNNNNNNNNNNNNNNNNNNNNNNNNNNNNNNNNNNNNNNNNNNNNNNNNNNNNNNNNNNNNNNNNNNNNNNNNNNNNNNNNNNNNNNNNNNNNNNNNNNNNNNNNNNNNNNNNNNNNNNNNNNNNNNNNNNNNNNNNNNNNNNNNNNNNNNNNNNNNNNNNNNNNNNNNNNNNNNNNNNNNNNNNNNNNNNNNNNNNNNNNNNNNNNNNNNNNNNNNNNNNNNNNNNNNNNNNNNNNNNNNNNNNNNNNNNNNNNNNNNNNNNNNNNNNNNNNNNNNNNNNNNNNNNNNNNNNNNNNNNNNNNNNNNNNNNNNNNNNNNNNNNNNNNNNNNNNNNNNNUUUGAAUGGAUGUAGGUGGUUCCAUCGCAGAUAGUGCCGAUCGCAGAUAGUGGUGCUCUCUUUUCCUCCUCACAACAGUCUUGGUGAGCCCAAUUUUUCCCAAGGGUAUUUUGUCCUUCAUUUGUAUAAGUUUUCAUAUUUUGAGGUAUAGUCGGGCCUUGUUGCCGGCAUUGUCAUAUUGCUCUUUUGUACUCUUAGAGGCUCCGUAGACGUUUAUGUGGGUCAUGUAUGUAUGUUGGAUUGAGUUGUAUUUUGGAAACUCAACUAUGACAUAAUGUAUAUAAGGAAAAUGAACUAGCAACGUUUAUAUAUUUAUAUAACUGAUCUCUCCCCGGUUUUACAAAUGGUGAUACGAUUCCUAUUUGGGUUAUGAAUGAGUCGGGUAGGAAAGGUUUAAUAGGCUUGCUCGACCGAGUUCACUCGGUUGAGCACCGGUCGCGCUCCCUGAGGUUGGGGCGUGACAUUCUGGAUGUAGGUAUCGUUGUAUUACGAAUAAGAUAGAGUUUAGGAAAUUGAGUUCUUACAACUGAGCUCUACUACACGAUCUAGAGUAAGAAGAAAGAGUGACAGUCCUAAAUGCCCUGUAGCCUCCUGCUUAUAAGUGUUGUGCACAAAACACCAUAAACAAGACUCUACUAGACAUGGCUUGUAGACUCCCUAGGACAGAACUGCUCUGAUACCACUUUUUGUCACAUCCCGAACCUGGGGGCGAGACCGGCACCCGGUGCCUCACCUUUCCUUGCGUACCAACUUGCGACUAAGGGACUCUAAACAUAUAAUGUCAUACUUUCGCCAUGGGCCACAUUGCAAGACAAUUGUGAAUGCUGAAUAAAUAUAAAUAUCAUGCUAGGCCGACAAGUCCGUUAUAACUACUAUAGAUGGUAAACCAACAAAAUAUACAUAAAAGGCCCACAAGCCCAAAAUACUGCACUAACUGACAGGAUAUGUCUACAAGCGUCUACUGAUGGAUAUACUGUGAUCGGAACAAGGCCCUGACCUACUCAUAUCAUAUAUACAUAUAUACACAAGAUGUACAUAAAGCUCUAGACCCGGUAACUUCGAAGGGCAUGGAGCUUACCGAUCAAGCUGAAUUCGGGCAACACCUAAUGAGGAGGCCUACCCGUCUGUCUGUCUGAACCUGCACGCAUGAAAUGCAACGCCCCCUGAAAAGGGACGUCUGUACGAAAUAAUGUACCGAGUAUGUAAGGCAAUAUACUGAAAGCUGAAACUGAAUUGAUAAUAUAAUAACUGAAAGUAACUGCGAGUCAAAGAUAAUCUGAAGAUAUGCUCACCUGCUGAUACUGACUCAACUCUCUCAAUAUAGUAAGUAAAAUAGCUGUCCGGCCUUAUAAGGCUCGGUAUAUAUAACUGAUCUGCCGUAGUAGGCUCGCACAUAGGCGCUCGGCCAUACUAGGUUGUGUAUCUCGGCCAUGCUGGGUUCGCUCAUAGGCGCUCGGCCAUAGCAGGCUCGGUAUAUAACUUAUCAUAUGAUCAGGCUUUGUAAUACUAUAUAUAUAGGCUCUCUGCUCUCUUGACUGGUAGAAGACAAUAUGUAAUUGAAUAUGAAGUCCCGAUAAGGAGAAUACUAUAAUUUAUGAGACUAGGAUAAUGUAUAUAAAUUCGGGAGUAUGAACUUCUCUUUAUGCCUCGUUAUCAAACACAUGUAAUUAUGAGAUCAUGCCAAAAUGAAGGAAGGGAUUAGCCUUAACAUACCUGAGCCGGUUCUCUUGACAAUUCCUCUAAUACACGUCAAUUACGACAACAUGUAAUCGGCAAGAUCGGAGUAGGGAAGAAUCCGUAUGAUAUUCUUGAGAAAGAUUGCACCGUACUCCCUUAAAAUUUCAAUACCUCACGUUGCUAAGAUGCUAAGAGAUCUUGUUUUGAAUUUUGUUUCAAGAACAUUACAUUAUUAAGAUGCAAACUUUUUGUUUUAAUUUGCUGAAGCCUUCAUCUCUCACGUUAUAGAGACAUCAACAUCUCACAUACUAACUCAGGAAGAUCUCUUAUAAUUUUGUGGGUUGUGGGCCCCACUUAUGUAUGACUUGGCCACCAAUAAUUCCUCCAAUUUUGCAACCUUUCAAUCUGACUUAAGAGUCACUUAAAUGAUCAUAUGUUGCUGCCACGUUGGGGAUUCUUAAACUUAUCCACUCAUUUUCUUAAUUAACUAGUUAAUUCCCCACUAAUCCAAUAAUUACCCAAUUAUCCACAUAAUUAAGAAUUAUCUCAAAUUACUUAAAAUACUACUCAUCUUUAACACACUUUGUAUACCUUACUAUUAUGGUCAUGUGGUACCUUGUANNNNNNNNNNNNNNNNNNNNNNNNNAUUUUCAUCGAUUUUCUUUCCCUCUCACCUUCAUGAAUUUACUUAUCCCUUGUUUGAAAUAGCAUAAUACUUAUAAUCCUAAAAUAAUCUCAUUUCCGAGCUUACGUCGAUUAACUUACGAUGAAACUUUAACGUACAAAAAAUAUGGGAUGUAACAUCUCAUUUUCGAGCUUUUAUCAAUUUAUUUAUGGCGCACUUUCACGUACAAAAAAUAUGGGGUGUAACAGUCACUUUUUUCAACAUAAGGUUAGGUUUGUUACUUAUUGAGUACAUGGGGUCGGUUGUACUCAUACUACACUUCUGCACCUUGCGUGCAGAUUUGGAUGCUGAUGUUGUUGUGUAUGGCAGGAGCUAGCAUUGAAGAUAUACCUGUAUUCUGUCAUAGCUGCAUCUUCUUCUUGGUAGCUUUAGAAUUAUUAAUUUGUUCAUGUAUAUUUCAAACAGAUGAUGUAUUUAUUUCAUUACAGAUUGAAAACUCUAAAUCUUAGAAACUCUUGAUUUGUACUACCAGUCCUUGGGAAUUCUUUGUAUAGAAGUUCAACUAUAUUAUCAUUACAAUUUGUCAGCAAAUCCUAAUGAAUUGGAUUAUUAUUGCUAAUUGGCUUACCUAGCGGUCUGGGUUGGGUGCCAUUAUGACUAGUUGAAUUUUGGGUCGUGACAAGUUGGUAUCAGAGCUCUAGGUUCAUAGGUUCUACAAGUCAUGAGCAAGUUUCUAGUAGAGUCUUGAUAAUCGGUAUGAUUACGACCAUACCUAUCUGCGAGAGGCUAUAGGGCUUUUAGGAUAAACUUCCCAUCUUUCUUUCCUUAUCAUGCGGUAUUGAUUUAGCUUGAAGCCUAUCUAUUUGAAUUCCUUCCACUCACUCGUAUGCGCAUGUGAGCUCUCGGUAUUAGCUCUACAUCGACGGCUUGUGGAGUUCCAUGUAUGAGGUGCGAGAUAUGUUUUUUGUGUUUUGGUGAUGGGUCAGUCUGAAGGACUUGAGGCUGGGUUUGGACCACAACUUAGGCUCGGUAGUUUCAGUUGUGUAAGCAUGUGCUUUUGGACUUCUAUAUCCAGUGGUAUCCCACAAAUUUGUGGCCCGAUGAGUGGUUGGAUGACUAAAUAAUAAGUAUGAUGUGACUGUGGGUUGUGUUCAGAUGGUUUGAAUAUGGCGAGAAGAGUUUGCUUGAGAUGUAAAAAAGGACUAUUGGGUGCUUGAUUUCUAUCUUGAUAUGACGUGUAGUCUCGAGUUAUGAGUGUGUUCAAGGAUCUUUCAUGUUGUUUAAUUGUGGGACGAAUUAGAUUCUCAUGUCUUAUUGAUGAUUUCUGACUCAGGAAGAUUAAGUGAUAGCGUAGUAGUUGUGGCUGUGAAAGGGUAUAGAGAGAUGUCAGUUUGAGGCUAAGUAGGUGGGUUAUAACCUACGGGGUAAUCUACGGAUGUCUGAUCCUUAUGAUGUUAUGAGGAGGGUUUCUUUACUACCAGUGGGUUAUAGGUAUUGCGAUUUGAGUUUGGAUUGGUUGAGAAAGUUGACCUGACUGUCACGAGGAUGAAUGAGAACUUAGCAGAUGAUUUGAGGUACUAUAUGGUUUGUGCUUUAAGAGCUUACGAAGGAUUUAGUUAAAUCUCACUACGAUAUUAUGGCAGUAAUAGAGUAUGGGCAUUGUGAGUUAUCGAGUGUUUUGAUCUAUGACUUUGAUCGAAGUGGGGGAGUCUUCUAUCGAUGAUUUGAUUGCAUGGUUACAUGUUGUAUUGGUUUCGGUCUGAGGCAUACUUCUGGAUCGGUUAUGACUUGCAAUGGCUGGUUUUGAGGAUGGCUUAAGCAAGGAAUUUUUUGGAUGCAUGGUGUAUUAUACUUUAUGGGCAUAUGAGAAUCAUGGAAUGAUUGAGUUAUUAUUCGUGAAGGAUGUAGUGCGCAUGGAGUAGGAAUUGCUCAGUUAUGUUAAGGCAGGGUUACUUCUUUGGGUGUUGUUGUGCUAAUAGAGAACAGGUCGUUCGGCCCGUUUGGUCGGUGCAAUUGAGAUUUGAGCAUAGUGGAUGACUCUCGAGAAGGUUCUAAUGGAUUCAAGAUUUAUAUGUAGUAAUUGAGAAUUUUUUGGAUUUGUAUAUGGCUAGAAUCUGAGAUUUACAUUGGAUUAUAUCGAGAAGUAAACACCUUUAGAUUCACAGAAGGUCUCUUUAGAGUGAGAGUUUCGGUUAUGGUACUUUUGGGGUGCUUAAGAGGGAAUACAGUGGCUUAUGAGCCUUAGGGCGGUGUGGUUUUAAUCUAGGAUCUAUUGUAGUGAGCUUUGGGUAAGGAUUGUGGUGUUCUUGCAAGGAGAAGUGUCAAGUUGAGGGUAAUUCAGAAGGAACUCGGAGAAAAUAGGACAGCUUGGUAGUAGGUUAGAUCAGCACAGUAAUGGAUAUGAUCGAUUCUUUGGGUACUUAUGGCUUGUUUGAGUUAGAGAGAUUCUGUUCUGAUAGCUUGAUUAUGUGAAAAUGGGUUUUGAAGAGUUCUCAAUGGUUUCUACCAUGAUUUGAGAUGGAUAUUUCCUACCGGCAUGCGGAGCAUGUUGCGUAUUGUGAUUUUCUCCUGGAUGGAAUCAAAUGGAAAGUUUCUGACUGAUUGGGUAUGUAUACUGCUGGUGACUCAGAGUUGAUUAUGAGAUUCGCAUGCUUUUCAUAUGAUGGCAUGAUAGAUGCGGUGUGUUGUGUGGGAUUGAGAAUUGCAUGUGCAAGGCCACAGUUUAGUUUUGAAGGGGAGGUCAUGAAUUAUUAGGCAACAUGGACAAUUUCAGAUGACUAGAUGGAUGAUAUCACUACUUGGUAAUGCCUGAGAGGGUGCGCAUUUCAGAAGGGGCACUGUGUUUUGACUUACGGAUGCUUCAUUGGUAUUGCGAUACUCGCCUGGUUGAUCGACUGUUGAUGUUCAUAUUUUGCUAUUUGGAAUAGAAGAAGUAUAUAAGUGUUCCUCGUGGAAUGAUCGUGUAUGAGAGAUGUGUUAGACAUUCGGGCGGUGGAGUUGGGAUCGGAUAUGGUGAUUCGUGUAUUCUAUGGAUUGGAGACUAGGAGUUCCCAGAAGCAGAUUGUUUCGUGGUUGCGAACUGUGAAGAUGUGGCCAAAGUUAGCUAGAUAGCGGUACAUAUUAUUGUUAGAUAAUUUUGGACUUUUGGAGGGCUAUUUAUCCAUUUGGGGAUGACCGAAGUUGGUUUGGGGGCCCAUUGGUAGGCCCGAGGAGGAUGUGUGUUCUGCAUAGGAUCAGAUUUGUUUACUCUGUACUGUUGUUGUUGAGGGAUGCGCCAUUCAGUUAGAAUUGAUUUUAUUCGUAUCUGAUAUGUUGUAUGUGUUACUCUUCCAAGCUACGAGGGGUUGUGAUUCGUUGGUUAUAUGCACACAUGGUGCGGUUUUAUUUGGGCCUUAUAGCGAAAUUCAAGCGAUCUGGUGAUUGGGGUGUGGAAUGGUUGACUAUGCCUUGGUUAUGGUCCUUUUUGGGUUGUGGUGUAUUGUGUUAUUUGCUUCUCCAUGGUAUUGGUCAUGCACUUGUGUACUUGGUGUCAUUUUCCAUUUUUAGGUGCAUUUGAAUUGUUGCGUAAUGGUGCACGGAUUGCACGGCUUAUGGCUUGAGGUUGUAUCGGUGUGGCAUGUUAGUAAAGUGGUUGUAUUUGAUGAGAUGUGGUCGUAGGACCUAGAAUGGGUGCUAUCGGAUUUGGUUGUGGUACAUUUGGAAGGAUAGUGUCAUUGAUCGACUUAGAAAUUGGCUAUAGUUCUUAUCGAAGGAGGGGGAGCUCCAUGGCUUGUUGAUAUGAUGAGUGGUUAUGAGUUUUUGCAUGUUUCUUUCAUCAUCGACAGUGUACAAAUAUUUUGAACGAGGUUUUAUUUGAUAUUAGGUUUACUACCGGUAUCAGGUUUGUUUUAAGCAGUUACUGUGAUCGGGAAUUAUUGAUACGAGUAAGCGAGUUGUGUGGUAUAUCAUGUGAUUGCAUCUUGGGUUAUGGUUAUGGUUUGAUACAUCCUGUUCGGACUCAUACAGUGUGUAGAUGCGAGAUUCGGGUCUUGUAAGGAAUUUUGGAUGUUGGAAAUUAGGUUCUAAGGCUUACGGACUAAGGUUAAAGUAAUGAUCUUCAGUUAUGAUUGUCACACCUCCUUUUUUCCGAGGGGAUAAGGGGUUUUUCCAAUUAAAGUGACAUUAAUCGAAAUGAGAUUUUUUAUUUAAUUUCAGAGCUGCCACUUGGGAUAAUUUAUGGUGUCCCAAGUCACCGGUUUAUUUUAAAUCCCAAAUCGAGGAAAUUGACUCUAUUUAUGGUCCGCGAACAUAGAAGACUGGGUAAGAAAUUUUGUUAACCCGGGAGAAGGUGUAAGGCACUCCCGGAUUUUGUGAUUUUAGCACGGUCACUUUACAAUCAUACCUGGCUUAAUUAAUUUGUUUAAUUACGUAUUUUAGAACCUAUGUGCGUUUUAUCCUUUUUUACCGCUUUUAAUUGUUUGAUUAUUCGUGAUUAUGGAGUUAUCUUGAAAACGAGUCACGCGUACGUGUACUCUUUUGUUUGGUGUGUCCAGAAUCAUGUCACGCGUACGUGUACAUAAUUAAUAAUACUUUAUUAUUAUUAAGAUUGUCGGACCAAAAUCGCGCGAACGCAUACCUUGAUUUAUUUCGGGAAUUAUAAUUAUGUCACGCGAACGUGUACAUAAUUACGAUAAUAACUUUAAAGAUUUUGUGAAUUACUAACAAGAUCAAUUGUAUUGCUAAACUAUUAAAGAUAUCUACGACUAAAUAAAUUACUAACAUUCUAUCUUGAAAUCAUUCCACAUUUUGGGCCUAUUAGUAGAAAUUACGUUUGGCCCAUUGCUUUUACGAGGCAAUAACAAUCAAGGCCCAAUUACGGUGAUAAGCUUCAACCAAGCUAACAUUCAUUCUAACUCUUAAUUUCUAGCUUUACAAAUUAGUCACUAAGAUAAAGGAUUAAAUUCAAAACCAAGGCAAAAUGAACUGGAGAGCCCAUUAUUUCAUUGAAGAAAAUUCUUGUAACUUAAAGUUCCCAUAUCAUCACUUCACAAGACAAAUUGCUUACUAAGGAAACUACUCAAAAUAGAUAAGAAAAAUUGGAUUAUUAAUGAGAUUAACCAUAUGAUUUGCUAAGAAAAUUAAAGGAAUGAACUAAGAGGAAACGUACUCAAAAGCGUACUGUUCAAACACAGAAAACUAAGAAACAAAAGUCAUCCAUAUCACACAAAUUAAAUCAAUACAAACAUGAUCCAGAACAUUAGCGAGAAGAACAAAUUCGAAAAGGGAGAUGAACCUUUGUAUUAAUGAGGCAAACCCAGAAUUAGAAUUUUGGCCAGAACAAAUUGAAUGACAACCGGAUCUGAAGGCCACCCCGCGGGAACCUCAAAACUCGCCGGGUAAAGCUCAUCGGAAAAUUCGACUCGAACCCGAUAAAAAAUAUUGUUGUUUUGUGAGGAAAGACGGCUGUUUUCGAGCUAUUUUUCAGCUGAAUUUGGAGCUUUUUUGGGGCUGAUUCGGCAACUGUUUUGGGGUCGUUUGGGACGAAAAGGGGGCUGGUUUUGACAGCGUUUUUGGGGCUGUUUCUGGGUGGAUUUUAGCUGCGUUUAAGCACUGAUUUUUAGCUGUUUGGUGGCUGAAGAGGAAGGGCGAUUUUGCUGCAUUUUUGGGGGUAUUUUAGAGCUGCGUUUCAACUGGAUUUUCAAGGUGUUUGUGGUGAUGUUUAGGUGGUGUUUUGGAGGUGAAAACGAGAGCUUCUAAUGGAGGAGAAUGGGCAGGGAGCUAUGGCUGCCUUCAGCUAAAUUUUCACCAAGAGAAAGGGGCUCUUUUCAUUUUUGUCCAGAUCUAUUUUUCGGUCCUCCCUCACCUCUGUGUUUUCCAUUCUUCUUUUUC
Molecule: long non-coding RNA, 20334 nt
Filed under: Nicotiana tabacum (common tobacco)
Lineage: Eukaryota; Viridiplantae; Streptophyta; Magnoliopsida; Solanales; Solanaceae
Description: long non-coding RNA (NTAB_LNC001608)
Source: RNAcentral